Molecule: non-coding RNA, 25 nt
Filed under: Mus musculus (house mouse)
Lineage: Eukaryota; Metazoa; Chordata; Mammalia; Rodentia; Muridae
Source: RNAcentral
UGCUUGCACCUUUGACUCUGGUAAC